Molecule: ribosomal RNA, 492 nt
Filed under: uncultured bacterium
Lineage: Bacteria
Description: partial 16S ribosomal RNA
Rfam family: Bacterial small subunit ribosomal RNA
Source: RNAcentral
AGUGAACGCUGGCGGUAGGCCUAACACAUGCAAGUCGAACGGCAGCACAGUAAGAGCUUGCUCUUACGGGUGGCGAGUGGCGGACGGGUGGGGAAUACAUCGGAAUCUACUUUUUCGUGGGGGAUAACGUAGGGAAACUUACGCUAAUACCGCAUACGACCUACGGGUGAAAGCAGGGGAUCUUCGGACCUUGCGCGAUUGAAUGAGCCGAUGUCGGAUUAGCUAGUUGGCGGGGUAAAGGCCCACCAAGGCGACGAUCCGUAGCUGGUCUGAGAGGAUGAUCAGCCACCCUGGAACUGAGACACGGUCCAGACUCCUACGGGAGGCAGCAGUGGGGAAUAUUGGACAAUGGGCGCAAGCCUGAUCCAGCCAUACCGCGUGGGUGAAGAAGGCCUUCGGGUUGUAAAGCCCUUUUGUUGGGAAAGAAAAGCAGCAGGUUAAUACCCCGCUGUUCUGACGGUACCCAAAGAAUAAGCACCGGCUAACUUCGUG